UACAGAGGUCUCAAGCGUUGUUCGGAUUCAUUGGGCGUAAAGGGCGCGUAGGCGGCGAGGUAAGUCGGGUGUGAAAUCUCAGAGCUCAACUCUGAAACUGCACUCGAUACUGCUUUGCUAGAGGACUGGAGAGGAGAUUGGAAUUCACGGUGUAGCAGUGAAAUGCGUAGAGAUCGUGAGGAAGACCAGUGGCGAAGGCGGAUCUCUGGACAGUUCCUGACGCUGAGGCGCGAAGGCCAGGGGAGCAAACAGG
RNAcentral lists this ribosomal RNA (253 nucleotides) under uncultured bacterium. RNAcentral's name for it is "partial 16S ribosomal RNA". It matches the Rfam family "Bacterial small subunit ribosomal RNA", at positions 524 to 776 of the family's 1533-position model. The record is from RNAcentral.